GAUGAAGAACGCAGCGAAAUGCGAUAAGUAAUGUGAAUUGCAGAAUUCAGUGAAUCAUCGAAUCUUUGAACGCACAUUGCGCCCCCUGGUAUUCCGGGGGGCAUGCCUGUUCGAGCGUCAUUUCACCACUCAAGCCUCGCUUGGUAUUGGGCAACGCGGUCCGCCGCGUGCCUCAAAUCGACCGGCUGGGUCUUCUGUCCCCUAAGCGUUGUGGAAACUAUUCGCUAAAGGGUGUUCGGGAGGCUACGCCGUAAAACAACCCCAUUUCUAAGGUUGACCUCGGGUCAGGUAGGGAUACCCGCUGAACUUAAGCAUAUCAAUAAGCGGAGGA
RNAcentral lists this unclassified non-coding RNA (331 nucleotides) under soil metagenome. RNAcentral describes it as "partial contains 5.8S ribosomal RNA, internal transcribed spacer 2, and large subunit ribosomal RNA". The stretch from base 1 to 120 matches the Rfam family "5.8S ribosomal RNA", at positions 35 to 154 of the family's 154-position model. The record is from RNAcentral.